AUUUAUUAGAUACAAACGACUGUAUUUGUCAUAUUUACAAUAAUAUUAAGAUGAUUAUAAUAACACGCCUUAAAAUAUGAUUUCUCGUGUACUUAUUUAAAGAUUCUUUUUGUUUUUUAGAUUUUCCUCGUCCUUUUGUAUUGAAUGUAAAGAACUUAUAAUUUGUGCAUAAUUAGCUAUUUCGAAUUUUAAUCGUCCCACGGUCGUUUUAUCCCGAUCGCAGUAUUAAAAAAGUAGCAAAAAAUAUAUUUGUUAUUUGGUUCGUGAUCAAAUUUGCAAACAUUUUGUUGACGAAAUGUAGAAUAAAUAGCCCCGUAUUUGUAAGUCAAGAAAUCUUUUUACGUAUAGCUUGUAUGAAAAAACAAAAAGUUGAAUAAUAACUUUUAAAAUUUUCAGAAAAAUUAAAAACACCGAAAAAAAGGGCCGAAACAAAACAGUUGUUUGCUUGCGUGGUGCUUAAAAAUAACCGAAUGCGACCACUGCGGCUUAGUGUUCAAAAAUCGAGAAUGCUUGGUAACACACGUCUACUACGCGCACAUAAUGAACGGAGUGAAGGCAACACCCCAGUGUCACGUCUGUAAGAAAAACUUUCCCUACAACUGGCUGGUGUUCCACCAUUUUGUGCACUACCACUUCAAUGAUUUUGUUAACUUGAACGAAUAUCGUCCUGAAUUAAUCUCUUAAAUUUGUAAAAAGUUUUAAUUUUAUUAACGAUUCAUCAUAAAAAUGAUGUUUUAUUAUUUAAUUGUAUCCAUAAGUUUUUGCGAUACGAUAUUUGUGUUCAAACUGCUUAAAUUACUCAAGUGAUUUAUCGAUGUUGAUGACAAUAAAAAAAAUUCUAAAAUUA
Long non-coding RNA from Melitaea cinxia (Glanville fritillary), 847 nucleotides. RefSeq lists it as uncharacterized. The transcript is spliced from 2 exons. Lineage: Eukaryota; Metazoa; Arthropoda; Insecta; Lepidoptera; Nymphalidae. The record is from RefSeq and is a predicted model, not a curated record.